Molecule: ribosomal RNA, 159 nt
Filed under: Sporothrix schenckii
Lineage: Eukaryota; Fungi; Ascomycota; Sordariomycetes; Ophiostomatales; Ophiostomataceae
Description: partial large subunit ribosomal RNA
Rfam family: Eukaryotic large subunit ribosomal RNA
Source: RNAcentral
CGGCAACAGCUCAAAUUUGAAAUCUGGCCCCCCGGCCCGAGUUGUAAUUUGGAGAGGAUGCUUUUGGCGCGGCGCCGUCCGAGUUCCUUGGAACAGGACGCCACAGAGGGUGAGAGCCCCGUACGGACGGACGCCUAGCCUAUACAAAGCUCCUUCGAC